UUGCCUUCUAAUCUGGUUUUGGAGCAGUCGUCGCCCAGGCCUUGACAUUCUUCACACGGGUCGGUCAAAAAUAUCUUUCUCUCGCGGCCGGGGGAAGCCGACCCGUCGCCGUCGCUCCCAAAACAGCCCGAGCCGGCCCGCCUCCGCGCGGCGGCGCAGAAUGCCGACCGUCUGGGCUGUUUGGGUUUGGGCUGCUUCGACGCGCUGGGCCAGGGGGCGCCGACGCAUUCUUGGCUCGUCCGAGGGCGCUCACCUGCGUGACGGCCGGAGGUGAGCGGACUCGCGCCUCGAUUGUUUGUGCAGCGACCGCUUGCAGAUUUGAAGCCCCGCGACGACCGUUCAGGACCAGGUUGGACGCGUGCAAAAGGGAACGACCCAAGUGAGACGAGUCCGGCACCGAGAAUGAAGUCAUUACUCCUAAAGAAACAUAAAAAAAAGCCACCAAGACAAAGAUCUUAACUUCUAGAAAUAAAUCCUGUGGAGCUGUUUGGCCAUAACGACCAACAUUGCAUCAUGAACUAGACCGCUUCAUAAAGUAGAUGUCAUCAUGAAGAAAGAACAUUACAUGGAGAUAUUAAGGCACCAUCUCAAGACAUCAGGCAGGAAGUGAAAACUUGGGUGCCAGUUGACCAAGACCUUCAAAACUGGAUGGAGGAUAACAAGAGUCCCAGCAUGAGCUUGUGGAAGGGAACCCAGAACUUUUGAGCCAGAUCGUGCAGUUCAAAGGGAAAUGUCAAAUGUCAAAUGAUCUGAUAUGACUUCAUAGUGAAGAAAUG
Syngnathoides biaculeatus (alligator pipefish) is the source of this 776-nucleotide long non-coding RNA. RefSeq lists it as uncharacterized. The transcript is spliced from 3 exons. The record is from RefSeq and is a predicted model, not a curated record. Lineage: Eukaryota; Metazoa; Chordata; Actinopteri; Syngnathiformes; Syngnathidae.